GCGGAUGGCGCCGUUCUAGCUCAGUUGGUAGAGCGCGUGGCUUUUAACCUCGUGGUCGUGGGUUCGAGUCCCACAGAUGGCGC
RNAcentral lists this transfer RNA (83 nucleotides) under Helianthus annuus (common sunflower). RNAcentral's name for it is "tRNA HanXRQr2_Chr02g0073511". The stretch from base 10 to 82 matches the Rfam family "tRNA". Rfam says of the family: Transfer RNA (tRNA) molecules are approximately 80 nucleotides in length. Their secondary structure includes four short double-helical elements and three loops (D, anti-codon, and T loops). Lineage: Eukaryota; Viridiplantae; Streptophyta; Magnoliopsida; Asterales; Asteraceae. The record is from RNAcentral.